This 30-nucleotide non-coding RNA is filed under the name Homo sapiens (human). Lineage: Eukaryota; Metazoa; Chordata; Mammalia; Primates; Hominidae. The record is from RNAcentral.
GGGGAGUACCUAGCAGUACACAGGAAGCUU